This 463-nucleotide ribosomal RNA is filed under the name uncultured bacterium. Its description in RNAcentral is "partial 16S ribosomal RNA". It matches the Rfam family "Bacterial small subunit ribosomal RNA", at positions 28 to 507 of the family's 1533-position model. The record is from RNAcentral.
GACGAACGCUGGCGGCGUGCUUAACACAUGCAAGUCGAACGGAAAGGCCUUUUCGGAGGUACUCGAGUGGCGAACGGGUGAGUAACACGUGGGUGAUCUGCCCUGCACUCUGGGAUAAGCCUGGGAAACUGGGUCUAAUACCGGAUAGGACCGCACUUUAGUGUGUGUGGUGGAAAGUUUUUUCGGUGUAGGAUGAGCCCGCGGCCUAUCAGCUUGUUGGUGGGGUAAUGGCCUACCAAGGCGGCGACGGGUAGCCGGACUGAGAGGGUGGUCGGCCACAUUGGGACUGAGAUACGGCCCAGACUCCUACGGGAGGCAGCAGUGGGGAAUAUUGCACAAUGGGCGCAAGCCUGAUGCAGCGACGCCGCGUGGGGGAUGACGGCCUUCGGGUUGUAAACGCCUUUCGCCAGGGACGAAGCGUUUUGUGACGGUACCUGGAGAAGAAGCACCGGCUAACUACGUG